GGGGUUUCAUGCGGUGGUGAUACGUUCGCCGCCGAUGAAUGAGAUAGAAGAUUCUUCCUUUUGUACUUGGGGAUUUUUUCCAUUAGGGUUUUCUGGUGAUUCUAAGGAUGUGAAUGGGGCUUCUUCUAAUUGGAACCCUGUUGCACCUUUAUUUCCAUCUUCCUUGAAAGGAUCUUCCAAUAGGAAAAAGAAUUGGGUUUACUAUGAUGAAGAGGCAACUGCGGCGUUUAUCGAUGUUUCUGAUCCGAGUGAUGAUGAUUCUGAUGAUGGGGAUUGGAGGGGUGGUAUUGGUAAGAGGAAAGGGGGGAAGAGGUCAGGGGUUAGUACUAGCAAAAAGAUUAGGAAAGAUUCUGGUAAUGCUGGUGGUAGGGAAACUGCAGAGAGACCUAGGAGGAGUGCUACUGGUGCUGCAGCUGGGAAUGGGAAUGAGAAGAAUGUUGGGGCUGUUGAUGCUGCUGGUGUGAAGGUAGAUACUAAUACUAGUAAGAAAGCUGUACCGAGUAGUUCUAGGAGGAGGGGUGCUGGAAAUUUGGAUUUGAAUGUAGAGUUCAGUAAUGAUGUGGAGGAGCCUUCCCGUGUAGUGCGUGUCCGUGAAGGAAAUGCAACUGGCAAUGCUGAGGAUAAUAUUGAAGGGAUUGGGUUUUUUGAAGGCCUUGACGAGUUCCUCAAUAGCUUGCCCAUUCUCAAUGUGGUGGGAGAUGAUAAGGUUAAGGGUCAUUAGCCAUUUUUCAAUUUAGAUGCUUUUAAUUUUUAUUUCCGUAGACUAUAGAUGUUGUUACUUGUAUGUUUACAAUUGUCGCACAACAUAUUGCUGAGCUGUUGUGAAUUCUUGUCAUUGUUAGAUUUUAUUUAAGUUAUGGCAGCAAGUACAUUAUAGUUUUUGAAGUAUUUGAGGAUUACUUCAUAUCAUGUAGAUUAUUGUUGUACCAUUGAGGAAGGAUAUAUAGAUUGAUGUUUUAAAAAGUCUGCCCACACUCUUUCUCACUGACGAUGGGGAACAGAUAAACUUAUCUCAGAGUUUUAGUUGGCCCUAAACUCUGGACUGUAUGCAUGACAAUCCAUAGAUCUGAUGCUGCUUCUAACCAUGCAUGUAAGCAAUUAUUUUCUACAUUAAAUGUUUCACUAUUGCAUGCAAAGUUUUAUAUCGGAUAUUUUGUUUUUGUUUGGUUCUGUUGUUUUCGUCUUGUUUGUUGUGUGACUUUGUUCUGUAAUAACUUAUAAGUUGAAGCCCCCUUAUGUAUCAUGCCUUUGCUAUGUUGUAAAUUGAGGCUACCUUCUGUAUCAUAUUGUAUGGGAUAUGUUUAAUCUUGUUUUCCUUUCAUCAUAUCCUUACAAGUUUGUUUGAUCCGGCUUAAAAUCACCAGCCUUUGUUUUAAAAGGCAAUUUCUGGGUGCAGUGAUAUAUAUUAGGUCUUUGAUCCUGCCAGUCUUUGGAUGUUUUGUUUUUGUUUGGUUCUGUUGUUUUCUUGUUGGUUGCUGUGUGGUNNNNNNNNNNNNNNNNNNNNNNNNNNNNNNNNNNNNNNNNNNNNNNNNNNNNNNNNNNNNNNNNNNNNNNNNNNNNNNNNNNNNNNNNNNNNNNNNNNNNNNNNNNNNNNNNNNNNNNNNNNNNNNNNNNNNNNNNNNNNNNNUGUUUUCUUGUUGGUUGCUGUGUGGCUGUUCUGUUAUAAGUUGAGGUCAGUGGCGGAGCUAGACAAUUUUUUUGGGGAGGGCCGUCAAUUUUUUUAUUUAUUUAUAUUAUCUCGUAUGUAAUAUAAAUAUAUAUGCGUUGAAUAAAAAAUAUCAUUUAUUCAUUUGCAGUGGUUUGUUCAUAUUAAUUUUAUUUGCAAGAAUAAAGUUCAAGUCUUACAUGUUGCAAUUUUAUGGUAUUUUUUGUUUAAAAUAGCAUUAAAAUGAUAAAAUGUAGAAGGCGAGGAUCGAACUCGCGCUAAUCACAUGACUGGAUGCCCUCCAGAACCACUGGAACAAAUCAAAUUGAUGUUAUAAAUUCGCAAAUACUAAUAUAUAUCAUAUACUCCUAAACAAAAAUAUGGUUAGAGAACAUCUAUUUCUAAUGAAUGAAGAUGAAGGAAGAGAGAACAUAAAAACAGGACAAACUUAUUUCUUUAAAAAACAUUAGGGCCGAUUAUUAGAGAAGAGUUGAGCCAAUUGGUUAUGAAAACAUUAAAAUACCAUAUUUUUGGUCAAGAAAAUAUUUAACUUUUUCAACAAAAUAUUAAAUAUUUAAUAUAUCAACCUAACUUAUUACUUAUGUAUGUAUGGAUCAAAAUAUUGAAUAUUAAAUAUUCUACUUUCCAUAGUCCCUCCAAAGUAUCUACAAUUUAAGCUCUUUGAAUAUGCUAUGAGAUUAAAUUCUCGAGUCGACAACUAGAAUUUAAUCUCAUAGAAUAUUAAAUAUCAAUUUUUUUACUAGAGUUAAAUUACCUUCCUAAUGAGUAACUCUAAAUUCAUGAGUUACCAGCCUCAGACGCAUAACCCUAACCCGAGGAAAAAACCUAGAUCGAGGAGAGCGUGACUGAGCCGAUUCGGAAGAAUCGGAACCCUAGCGAGCCAACUGAACCGACUCGACAAAUACGGACAGCAACUGCUGCUGAAAUGGACGGUAAGAUUAGCUUCUGGACCUUGUGCCCUUACUGUUACAUUUAUUAUGAGUAUCCGAAGAGGUAUGAAGAGUGUACCCUGCAGUGUCAGAGUUGUUGGAGGGGGUUUCAUGCAGUGGUGAUACAUUCGCCACCAUUGAACAAGAUAGAUUCUUCGUUUUGCACUUGGGGAUUUUUUCCGUUAGGGUUUUCUGGUGAUUUCAAAGAUGUGAAUGGUGCUUCUUCUGAUUGGAACCCUAUUGCACCUUUAUUUCCCUCUUCCAUGAAAGGAUCUUCCAAUAGGAAAAAGAAUUGGGUUUACUAUGAUGAAGAGGCAACUACGGCG
This 2921-nucleotide long non-coding RNA is filed under the name Trifolium pratense (red clover). Its description in RNAcentral is "long non-coding RNA (TPRA_LNC001423)". Lineage: Eukaryota; Viridiplantae; Streptophyta; Magnoliopsida; Fabales; Fabaceae. The record is from RNAcentral.